Long non-coding RNA from Salvia hispanica, 498 nucleotides. RefSeq lists it as uncharacterized. The record is from RefSeq and is a predicted model, not a curated record. NCBI's taxonomy places the organism in Eukaryota, Viridiplantae, Streptophyta, Magnoliopsida, Lamiales, Lamiaceae.
GCAAAGUGUUAGAGAAGACUGCAAAUGAUGACUUAAAUCAGUAAUUCAUGUUUUUGCAGUUCAAUCGGCGACGGAUAUGGAGUAUAUGGCUGGAGAUAUUUGGAGAUUGAGAGCUCAGGAUGUUGGGGAAGGAAGUGUAAAAAUUAGUUGGGUGGCAAAUGGUGUCGUCGGUUCUCCUGCUUUUGCAGCCUUUGAUCAAGGUUAUGAUGUUUUUCUUGGAAACUUUCGUGGAUUAGUUUCGAGAGAACACAUCAACACGAAAAUCUCAUCUUGGACCUGUUGCUGCAUUUUUCCUGCUCCUAUUUGACCCCAUCAGUUUUAGGUGAGGCGGACGGCUUUAAAGAUGACAAACGAGUUAUUUUACCUAUGAGUUCUGUUGAAGAGUGACGAAUUGUGAAGAAUUGAAGGUUUUAGUUUAUAGUGAUGAGAUUGGUUUUAGUUUUAAAGUUAAUGUAGUAUAAAGAAGUUUUAAAAAUAAUGAGAAAUUAUCCAUUUUGU